This 72-nucleotide transfer RNA is filed under the name Heterocephalus glaber (naked mole-rat). It matches the Rfam family "tRNA". From Rfam's summary of the family: Transfer RNA (tRNA) molecules are approximately 80 nucleotides in length. Their secondary structure includes four short double-helical elements and three loops (D, anti-codon, and T loops). Lineage: Eukaryota; Metazoa; Chordata; Mammalia; Rodentia; Bathyergidae. The record is from Rfam by way of RNAcentral.
GGGAGUGUAGCUCAGUGGUAGAGCAUGUGCUAAGCAUCUAGGAGGCCUUGGAUUCAAUUCCAAGCACUCCCA